GGAGUACAUUGGUUGGAGGAGGAAGUGUGUGAACCUGAGGGAGAAAGGCAUGCGUAUUUCAAUGAGGUCGACAGCUAAAAUCCGCAGCCUCCAUUCUGAGCACCGAUAGCUGGAUCUUCCGAUGUCAGCAUAGACGUGGCAGAUGAAAUCCUGUCUGCAUUUUUGCUGCCCAGGAAGAGCAACAGGCACUUAAAUCACUUUAGUGGCUGCUCUUUGCUGAGAAGCUUAUUUUCUCCACAAAUAAAGAGCUGAAAAGUCCCUUCUGCUCUGGAGCAGAUCGGGCCAAGGAAGAACAGACGGGAAGACCUAGAAUUAAAUCCAUAUUCAGGAAGGAAAGCGCUGUUCUCAGCAGAAAUCCCAACAGUAGCCACUGUUAAUUAACGAAGACAACAGUCAGCAUAGGCGUCUUGAGCCUCAGCCAGUCACAGACAGCCUCGCUCCAGUAACUACGCUCCAGAGCCAGAGUCAAAAAAGACAGCCAAUCAGGGAAGACAGCCGAUGCCAAGUUCAGUUUUAUGAAAUCUUAACCGCUGGAUACCUCCACCCUUCCGCCAUCCUUGUUUAUGGUUUACUGUGAGUUCAGACUUGUGAGUGACAGGUGAAAGAAAGCGCUUUGCAUUUAGCAAAUUCAGUAUUUUUCGUUCUUGUGCUGGCUUCUAUUAUCUGUUCUUUUAUUUGUUCAUAUAGAAAACCACAAAUGCCAGGGGGAAGCAUAUAUUUUCUUAGUUAUGGGUAUUUAUCAAGCGAGGAAAGAGCCCCCUAACGUUCCUUGUGCAUCAUGCAGUUGUUCAUUUAAUAGAAAAACAGUAGAAAGACUAAUAAACUAGCAUCUAUUGACAGGCAUAAAGAAAACGCAUGAGCCGGGCGUUGGUGGCGCACGCCUUAUUUAAUCUCAGCACUCGGGAGGCAGAGGCAGGCGGAUCUCUGUGAGUUCGAGACCAGCCUGGUCUACAGAGCGAGUUCCAGGACAACCUCCAAAGCAAUACAGAGAAACCCUGUCUCGAAAAACCAAAACCAAAAGGAAAAAGGAAGGAAGAAAGGAAGGAAGGAAGGAAGGAAGGAAGGAAGGAAGGAAGGAAGGAAGGAAGGAAGAAGAAAAUGCAUGAGCAGGGCUUGAUGGCUCAUGCCUUUUAUCCCAGCACUCUGGAGGAUCUCUGUGAGUUCAAAGCCAUUCAGA
RNAcentral lists this long non-coding RNA (1177 nucleotides) under Cricetulus griseus (Chinese hamster). RNAcentral's name for it is "lncRNA (ENSCGRG00015032477.1)". Lineage: Eukaryota; Metazoa; Chordata; Mammalia; Rodentia; Cricetidae. The record is from RNAcentral.